Molecule: transfer RNA, 70 nt
Filed under: Yezoterpnosia vacua
Lineage: Eukaryota; Metazoa; Arthropoda; Insecta; Hemiptera; Cicadidae
Description: tRNA-Tyr
Source: RNAcentral
AUUGGGAUGACUGACAAAAGUAAUAAACUGUAAAUUUAUAAAUGAAUUAAAUUAAUUAAUUCUCUCAAUA